Molecule: ribosomal RNA, 493 nt
Filed under: uncultured bacterium
Lineage: Bacteria
Description: bacterial SSU rRNA
Rfam family: Bacterial small subunit ribosomal RNA
Source: RNAcentral
GGCUCAGAUUGAACGCUGGCGGCAUGCCUUACACAUGCAAGUCGAACGGCAGCACGGUGCUUGCACCUGGUGGCGAGUGGCGAACGGGUGAGUAAUACAUCGGAACGUACCUUAUCGUGGGGGGAUAACGCAGCGAAAGCUGUGCUAAUACCGCAUACGCCCUGAGGGGGAAAGCGGGGGAUCGAAAGACCUCGCGCGAUUAGAGCGGCCGAUGCCUGAUUAGCUUGUUGGUGGGGUAAAAGCCCCACCAAGGCGACGAUCAGUAGCUGGUCUGAGAGGACGAUCAGCCACACUGGGACUGAGACACGGCCCAGACUCCUACGGGAGGCAGCAGUGGGGAAUUUUGGACAAUGGGGGCAACCCUGAUCCAGCAAUGCCGCGUGAGUGAAGAAGGCCUUCGGGUUGUAAAGCUCUUUUGUCAGGGAAGAAACACCGGCUCUAACACAGUCCGGGAAUGACGGUACCUGAAGAAUAAGCACCGGCUAACUACGUG